GACGAACGCUGGCGGCGUGCUUAACACAUGCAAGUCGAACGGAAAGGCCCUGCUUGCAGGGUACUCGAGUGGCGAACGGGUGAGUAACACGUGGGUGAUCUGCCCUGCACUUCGGGAUAAGCCUGGGAAACUGGGUCUAAUACCGGAUAGGAGCCAUUUUUAGUGUGAUGGUUGGAAAGUUUUUUCGGUGUAGGAUGAGCUCGCGGCCUAUCAGCUUGUUGGUGGGGUAAUGGCCUGCCAAGGCGGCGACGGGUAGCCGGCCUGAGAGGGUGGACGGCCACAUUGGGACUGAGAUACGGCCCAGACUCCUACGGGAGGCAGCGGUGGGGAAUAUUGCACAAUGGGCGCAAGCCUGAUGCAGCGACGCCGCGUGGGGGAUGACGGCCUUCGGGUUGUAAACUCCUUUCGCUAGGGACGAAGCUUUUUGUGACGGUACCUAGAUAAGAAGCACCGGCUAACUACGUG
This 465-nucleotide ribosomal RNA is filed under the name uncultured bacterium. RNAcentral describes it as "partial 16S ribosomal RNA". It matches the Rfam family "Bacterial small subunit ribosomal RNA", at positions 28 to 507 of the family's 1533-position model. The record is from RNAcentral.